UACGGAGGGUGCAAGCGUUAAUCGGAAUUACUGGGCGUAAAGCGCGCGUAGGCGGCUGAUUAAGUCGGAUGUGAAAUCCCCGGGCUCAACCUGGGAACUGCAUACGAUACUGGUCGGCUAGAGUAUGAGAGAGGGAGGUAGAAUUCCACGUGUAGCGGUGAAAUGCGUAGAUAUGUGGAGGAACACCGAUGGCGAAGGCAAUCCCCUGGACCUGUACUGACGCUCAUGCACGAAAGCGUGGGGAGCAAACAGG
RNAcentral lists this ribosomal RNA (253 nucleotides) under uncultured bacterium. Its description in RNAcentral is "partial 16S ribosomal RNA". It matches the Rfam family "Bacterial small subunit ribosomal RNA", at positions 524 to 776 of the family's 1533-position model. The record is from RNAcentral.